UACUUAUUUAUUUAUUUGUUUACUUUGAGAGGGAGAGAGAAUGAGUGCAUCAGCUGGGGAGAGGCAGAGAGUGAGAGGGAGAGAGAAUCCCAAGCAGGCUCUGCACUGUCAGCACGGAGCCCAGUGUGGGGAACAUGAGAUCAUGACCUGAGCUGAAAUCAAGAGUAGGAUGCUUAACCUACUGAGCCACUCGGACACCCCCCCUCCCAAAUCUAUUUUCAUACCUCACCAAGUUUCCUGCUAAAGAUUUGAUCACCAUAUAAUGCAUAAGAGGUUUCAAAAACUAGUUUAAUAUCUUUUUGGGGUUUUUUGUUGUUGCUUUGACAAAUUAUGUGAUGAGGUAGACUUGUGUCAGAGUGCAGCAAUGAAAAUCAGACCCAGAACAUAGCAGGUUGAGAGUCACAGGAAAAGAUAAAGAAGGUAAAGUGAUUCUUUACCUUUUUUUUUUUUUUUUUUUUUUUACACAAAUAUCUCAGGUUAACUGAAAGUCUGGGGCUGGGAACAAAGACAAAGUCAGCUGCUCUUCCCUGGUAAAUGCCUGCAAACCUAGCCCUGAGGGAGCUUUUGAUGCCCCGGUUUGCCUUUCAGCAGGUUUGUAAAUUCAGCAGAUACAUGAAAUAAAAUUUAGCAGUUGGAAGUUAGUGCGUUGCUUUAUAUUUUGAUAGAUAAAUUGCUUAAGGAUUUAAGAUCCAUCCACAGUGGGGAUGAUACAUACUGUACUAGAUUGAAGGGAUUUAUUUGGUCUUCUUUUUCCAGAAAACUGAGAUUACUUCACAUCAAAACAGAGAAAGUGUAAAUAGCAAAAGUCUUUAUUUGAAACUUCAUUUGGAAAUUAAGACUCUUAUAUUUCCAAAAUAUAUUAUCAUUAUAAGGGAAAUACAUUUGAUUUUAAUCCAACAGUUGUGCAACUCUCAAGGGAACACGCAGUGUACUAUUGAGAUGGAAUCCUCUCCGCGCACUCCAGGUCAUGACGGUUCCAGCUUCUUUGUUCGUAUUAUCGGAUAAAGCGAUUGAGUACCCCACUCUGCCUUUGGAUUAUGCCAUUGAAAAGCCAACUGUUAAAUGGCAACAAAACAGUGAGGAGGCCCUUUAAAAAAACAAAAAAAGUUCUGUUAAGCUUUAUACCUGAAGUGUUUUAUUCCCACUCAGUUUUAUAGCAUAUGAAUAUUUUUUAGCUUCUGUAUGCUUAUUAUCCCUUUAUUAUUUUGUUUUUUGUUAUAAUUUUCAGAUUUUCCUUUAGGAGAAGUUAAUUGUGUGUAUUAUGUGUGUGUCGUGUGUGUAUGUGUGGCUUUCUUAUAAUAACGCGUGUCUGUGGUUUUCAUUGUGUCGGUUUUAAUCAGCUCCAAAGGGCCUUGGUGUAACUUCUCCUGGGUGCCUUCUCAUUGAUUUAAAUCUCAUUAAUGAGUAUUGCUAAUACAGUGACUGCCUACGGAAAUCCCAGAAUGUUACGAACCUUUGACAAGGAAGGUCCUUCCCAUCUUAAGAGAAGAAUCAUGAUCUGCCAGUCCUAGAAAGGAAUCACGUUUGAUAAUGUAGCACGCUGGUGGUAACUCCUGAGUCUUUGCAUACUACUGCUCAAAUUUAGCAAAGAAAGAGUUCUGGGUUAUAUUUAUAAGUCACUAAAUUAUGAGACAGGAUUGAAUUAUUCAAUUAUGAAGAUAAGAUUGUAUUGUUCAAAAUUUUAAAAAGCUAGUGUUUCUUAGCAAUCUUAAACCUUGCGCCUUGCAUAAACCAUUUGUAAGAAUAAUUUAAGGCUCUUAAUUCGUUGAAACAACAGAUGCUGUAAAUGAUUUUUUUCAACCAUUUUACUUUGUCUAUAAUAAACAAGAUAUACUUUUGUUAGAAUACUUCA
Molecule: long non-coding RNA, 1852 nt
Filed under: Felis catus (domestic cat)
Lineage: Eukaryota; Metazoa; Chordata; Mammalia; Carnivora; Felidae
Description: lncRNA (ENSFCAG00000051618.1)
Source: RNAcentral